GUUUUUGCUUCCCUUUUUGCAGGAUACAAAAAAGCAAUUUAUGUUAUUUGAGCUCAAUAAAAAAUUUAAAAAUAAAAAUAAGUAUGCAUUAGAAAAUACUACAAAAGCCAAGUGCCUACCAAGCAGAUAGUAUAAGAUUCAGCACUCAAAUCUACCCCAAUUGAGUCAACUUUUGUGACGAGAUUUGUGACUGAGCACCC
Molecule: long non-coding RNA, 200 nt
Filed under: Elaeis guineensis (African oil palm)
Lineage: Eukaryota; Viridiplantae; Streptophyta; Magnoliopsida; Arecales; Arecaceae
Description: long non-coding RNA (EGUI_LNC007660)
Source: RNAcentral